GUGGCCUGUCGGUAGAGUUGGAGCAGGCCGCUCUCGUCGCCCUGGGCUUGCAGCCGUGCCAGCCUGGGCAUCAGUGCCAUGCUGAGCGGGCCGCU
RNAcentral lists this transfer RNA (95 nucleotides) under Sphaerotilus microaerophilus. RNAcentral's name for it is "Sphaerotilus sp. FB-5 tRNA-Glu". Lineage: Bacteria; Pseudomonadati; Pseudomonadota; Betaproteobacteria; Burkholderiales; Sphaerotilaceae. The record is from RNAcentral.